AGCGAACGCUGGCGGCAGGCUUAACACAUGCAAGUCGAGCGGGCAUCUUCGGAUGUCAGCGGCAGACGGGUGAGUAACACGUGGGAACGUACCCUUCGGUUCGGAACAACUCUGGGAAACUGGAGCUAAUACCGGAUACGCCCUUAUGGGGAAAGGUUUACUGCCGAAGGAUCGGCCCGCGUCUGAUUAGCUAGUUGGUGGGGUAACGGCCCACCAAGGCGACGAUCAGUAGCUGGUCUGAGAGGAUGAUCAGCCACACUGGGACUGAGACACGGCCCAGACUCCUACGGGAGGCAGCAGUGGGGAAUAUUGGACAAUGGGCGCAAGCCUGAUCCAGCCAUGCCGCGUGAGUGAUGAAGGCCUUAGGGUUGUAAAGCUCUUUUGUCCGGGACGAUAAUGACGGUACCGGAAGAAUAAGCCCCGGCUAACUUCGUG
RNAcentral lists this ribosomal RNA (435 nucleotides) under uncultured bacterium. RNAcentral's name for it is "partial 16S ribosomal RNA". It matches the Rfam family "Bacterial small subunit ribosomal RNA", at positions 29 to 507 of the family's 1533-position model. The record is from RNAcentral.